RNA transcript from Oryzias melastigma (Indian medaka), 6351 nucleotides. It is a transcript of the gene named poly(rC)-binding protein 4, with no coding region annotated. The transcript has 15 exons. The record is from RefSeq and is a predicted model, not a curated record. NCBI's taxonomy places the organism in Eukaryota, Metazoa, Chordata, Actinopteri, Beloniformes, Adrianichthyidae.
AGUAAAUGCAUGUGAUGUGCUGGCCCCGCCUCCACUGUUUGAUUGACAGAUUCUCUUGAGCCACUUUCAGUAGAAGGGGUGUGGCCUUAAAACAAGCUCACUCAUGAUUGGUGACAGUAGCUGCAAUAGAAAAAGAGUUUACUCAAAAAACGAAUAAAAAUAACUGACCAAUCACUGCCUACGACCCUCGUCUGGCUCCUGUGUUCAUAUUGUGGAAAAAUGGCGACAGAAUUAAUUUGUUUGGAACUAGAAAUAAACCGUUUCCUAUGAGUGACAUCACACUUACUCGGUCCAGUUCUCUUGUACAGUCAACAGCUGCUCUGUUAUUUUUCUUUUUGAUCUGAUAUAUGUAGCAGGAUGAAAUGGGCUGCACCUGCUACACAGGUGUUGGCAAUCCUCUGGAUUGCCAAAAGGGUGUGGUGGAACCAAUAAAAGGCAGAGCCCCCCCCCAGCGGCUUCAGGCCUCCGGCGCGCCCCUGGACUUUGUGGACGGUUGCUUUUCCUUUUUAUUUCAGAACUUUUACUAAAUUUUGUUUAGGUGUGAGUGUGAAGGUGUGCGUGGUUGCCCUACUUACUGGUUUUAUUUUUCUUUUCAGGGAAGUGGUUGGCAGAGCGUGUUGGCCGACGACGGUGGAGGCUUGUUGUGUGUGGGUCCAUUCCCUUUCACGCGUGUGUGCGUGCAUGUCACUGUGGGGUGCAAUCCAUUUUUGUUUAUUCUGUUUUUUCCUCCCCUCGUACGCCCAGCGCUCUGCCGGUAGCCUUCCCCCAGUAGGGCUUUUAUUUUUUUUAGCUUUGAUUGUUUUAAUUGGUUUUAUAUUUUUUUAAUAAAGCUAUUUAUUGAACUGGAACCACGUCUCGGCUGCUUGGGGAAAAAAUCUACGUGUCCUUUAUCAGGACUUCCCUUUGGGUUCCCCGGACCCUGCAUUCCGGGGUGGCGUUGUUUCCUUUUGGGUUAUACCCGAAAAUCCGCUUUGCCUCAUAGAUAUUUACCUCGUGGUUGUUCAUGUCACAACUCCACGGUAACGACCUUCAUUUGACUGACUUCUGUCUUGGCUCCGAGGAUCAAGUGUGUCAUUUUCCCGCCUGUCUGUCUCUAACUGUGUAUCCUGAUGUUUCCCGCCUGUCUGCUGGAUCCAGCGGCAGCAUCAGGACCGGGAUGCUGGUUUCCUGCAUCCCUCCAUCCAUCUCCCGCCCCCUUCCUCCCGCUCCCGCUCCCGGUCCCUCUGCGCGUCCCCGUCACUGACAGGCGGGUUCGUCGGUGCAAACAGCAGCCUGUCCGGUUCCCGCUCUCCUCCAGAGAACCCGACGAUGCGGAGACCGACCGAGGGCUGAUCGUUCCUCCGGUGCACGAUCAGAGAGACAGAAGGUUUUUCUUCACUUCUUGCCUCCACUGUCCCGCUCCAAAUCCCGCCUCUCCACGCCGUCCCAUACCUCCAGACAUCUCUGACUGAGUGCUCAGAAGAGCUCCUGCGGUGUUCCAGAUCGCUCCGUACGCCUCGGGCCGGAACCUUCAUGCGUCUCCUAACAGCAGAGUCCACCCACACCUCCAUACACCUCACCACCACCUCUGCCAUGAGCUGCCAACCGGAGUUUGGAGACGGUGCCAUGGCGGUCACACUGACGCUCCGUCUCCUCAUGCAUGGAAAGGAAGUGGGAAGCAUCAUUGGAAAGAAAGGAGAAACUGUGAAGAGAAUCAGAGAAGAGAGUGGCGCUCGGGUCAACAUCUCGGAGGGUUCCUGUCCGGAGAGGAUCAUCACCAUCUCAGGACCCACAGACUGUGUGUUCAGAGCCUUCUCCAUGAUCACCUCCAAACUGGAGGAGGACCUGACCGCCUCGGUAGCCAAUGGAACCGUGAACAACAAGCCGCCGCUCACCGUACGGCUCGUAAUUCCUGCCAGUCAGUGCGGCUCUCUGAUCGGUAAAGGGGGCUCCAAGAUCAAAGAGAUCCGAGAGACCACAGGUGCUCAGGUCCAGGUAGCAGGAGAGCUCCUCCCCAAUUCCACAGAGAGAGAGGUGACGAUCUCCGGGGGCCAGAGAGCCGUCAUCACGUGUGUCAAACUCAUCUGCACCGUCAUUCUGGAGUCGCCACCAAAAGGGGCAACCAUUCCAUAUCGGCCCAGCCCGACCCCGGGGUCUGUGCUGCUGGGAGGAGCCCAGGUGUUUGAGGCUGCAGACUUUGGCUCCCACCCUCUGUUCUCAUUGGCUCAGGGAGGAAUGGACCUGCAGCAGACAUAUGCAGUACAGAGCCACUACAGCCUUCCACAUUCAGAGUUGGCGAAGCUGCAGCAGCUGUCCGUGCAGCAGCAAGCCCUUUCUGCGGCGCCAGUUCUGCCCGGAUCCCUGGACUCCAGCUCCCAAACGUCUCAGGAGUUCCUCAUUCCAAACGAUCUGAUUGGCUCAAUCAUCGGGCGCCAAGGAUCCAAGAUCAACGAGAUCCGGCAGGUAUCUGGAGCUCAGAUCAAGAUCGGCAGUCAGAUAGACAGCACCAGUGACCGACAUGUCACCAUCUCCGGCACGCCGAUCGCCAUCAACCUGGCUCAGUAUUUGAUCUCUUCAUGUUUAGAGACAGCCAAAUCCACUGCCCAGUCCUCCUCCAUGCCGUCUCCUGUUGACCUGACCAUGAGCUUCACCCAGCCCAGCCCCCCUGCCUCCGCCUCGUCCUCCUCCUCCUCCCCUUUGGCAGCGAUGGGCGCCACGCUGCCCCAUGCUCCAAUGCUGGGCGCUCCCUAUGCCCUCCCCCUUUCCAGCCUCCUGGGAGUCAAAUCCAUCCCCUACCUGGCACUGUCCACGUCCUCCGCUUCAGCCGCCGCCACCAUGGGGGUCCCAGUGCUGCAGAGCUCAGUGCAGACGGCCGCCGUCCCCGUGUCAGCACAGGCCGCGGCGGCGCUGGCGUCCUACACGGCCAAGAUCUCCUCCUCCACCAAUGGCGUGAAGAAGCCGGAGAGACAGAAGUUUUCCCCGUACUGAUGAGGGCUUGUGAGAAAGCUCCCAGAUAAGAAGGGCGUCACUGCAUCUCCUCCCUGUCCCACCUGUCAUUCCUCUCCUGCUAUAGAUGUCACUGAUCAUUAUGCAUGCCACACGCUCUUCAAUCAUCUGACUUCUGGAAAACACGAUUGCAGCUUUAAUCAGACCGUUUAGCUUGACUGAAGCCAGAGCUGCAGCAGCAGACACACAGGGCUGAAGAUGUUCAGAAGAUUCUGAUGAGACGACUUUUCAAUGGGAAAAUGAUGAAGUGUUAUUUGUGCCACUAUGCUAACAACAAAACUCUGUUUUGAACCGAUACCCAGCGCUAGUGUGAACGCUUUUUUGUUCUCUUCACUCGAGAGAAGGAACAGAGUCAGAAGAUCCUCUUAGAGGAGUGCUGACUCCCUCUGGACUCUGGAGGAAUCCAGAAAUCCUCUUCCUGAUCUUGAACUCUGUUAACCGGACUCUUUCCCUCUCAAAGACUUCCAUCCUCCUGUUUCCCAGCUGAAGAGAGUAUCUGAGGAUCUCAUCACUUUGUUGCUCUUGCUAACACUCCUCUCCCUCUCCAGAUCCACUCAGCUCUGCCCCUUCAGUCUGGAUGUUCCUGUUCAAGUGUCUCUACAUUCUGGAUGAACCUGUUCUUUUUAGAAUCGGAGUUGUAUUUGCUGGAUCUCCGACACUUCAUUCCGUAACCUUUGGGUCAGUCAGUGCUUCUUCAUGACAUCCCUUUACUUAAGCUCUGCAUCACCAUCGGCUGCAGAGAGAGAGUAUUUCAUGCAGGGAGAGACGUCUUUGAUGCUCAUCAGCUGCUGAGGAUCUUCUACAUCAGGGGUGUCAAACUAAAGUCCCCGAGGGCCGACGUCCUACUGGUUUUCCAGAAAUCCUGCCUCAUCUGCUGCUGAUUACCUGGAUCAGGUGUGUUUGGCCAAUAAGGAGCUUCAAAGGCAGGUUGGUUGGAAAACAUGUAGGACACCGGCCCUCCAGGCCUGGAGUUCGACACCUGUGUUCUACAUGUUAAAGAGCAGAUUGGGUCAUGACUGCACAGCUUAAGGCAGUCUCAGUUUAUGCUGCUGGUUCUAGUGGGAAGACACUAUAGUGGGUCUGAGGGACUGUGACGAGAUGUGAAGCUGGAGGCUUUAGAGAGGGAGGGGCCUGCGCUCCCCGCCUUUCCUCUUAACGCAGAACUCCCACGUUGAAGGUUUAUUUUCUGCAGGCGUUCAGGCCGAGCUCAGGUUGUACCAAACAAUCCUUCUAGACGCUGAAGCUCAGAGCAAAUGUUGGAGGUAAAGAGCCGCCGUGCUUCAGAGAGGACGGUGACCUUCACACUGAAGCUCUAAAGCUGCAAUUUGGUUUUCUGGCAUUCAGAAUUCAGCCUCAACGCUGAAGUUUCAUUCCUGAUUUCAUGUUCCAAUCAUCCCACAAAGUAAAGUUCUUUCUUUCUGGGGGUUAUUCGAGCUCUGCCCUUCUUAUCAGAGCGGGGAACGUUGAGGGUGUUUGUAGCAUCGGUUGAGGUUCUCGGGGACCUCCAGCCUCUAAAAGCCAUAGAGACUUCCAGCUCUUCCUCUUCUGGUUUGUGUCUGGUUCCUGAUCUUAUUGUAAACUCUCAUAUUUAUCAGAGUCACAGAUCAUCUGUCAGAGUUUCUGUCACUAAUACUGAGCUGAACAAUCAGCGUUUCUAUUGAAAUGGAAAUGCUUCCUUUGCUUCUUUUUUUCUUUCUAGUAUUUCUUGUGAAAAACACUCGAGUUUUGUGUUUAAAAACACUUUGAUUUCAGAUGCGUUGUGUUUUAUGUUUAACUUAUUGAGGACUUGUUAGAAAAACUCUUUCCACUGUAACAAAGAAAAUGUCAUCAAACUGUUUUUCACGUUUGAACGUAGAUUUAUUUUGAAAGAAGAAGACUUCUUGAAUUGAUUUUUGUUGGUAAAAACUGUGUUUUCACUGAUGAGCUCAGACAUGUGAACACUAACAGGUCACCUGACAGCAAAGCUUGACCUGCUUCUUUCAACAUCCUCAGAACUAGAAGGCAAAUCAAUGUUUGUCCUAUCAGGUUCUCCAGAAAACAUUCAGGUAUUUUUACAGCAACUUGAUUUGGUUCAAAACCUCUGAAGUUAAAGCUGAUUCCACAUUUGAUCAGUAACAGGUUUUCCAGAGUAUCAGUCACAGUUUUUUUCAUAGAUUAGCCAGGAGUGAGACUUAUACUCAGGAGCAACUUAUUUGUGUUUUGUGUUUUUCUCAGACAUCAACAGGCUCAUAUAUUUGUUAUUUUCUCAGUAAACAUCAGUUUUCCUUUAGCAGUUGUUUCCUCUAACAACCACUAGAGGGCGCUGCAGUAUAAUACUGACAGCACCAGAAGAAGUGUCGUUCAAAACAAACAUGGAGGACAAUCUGAUUGUUUUCUUCUUAGACUUUGAUAUUUUUCUUAAAGGCAUCAAAAGAUAAUUUUUAUUUAUGUAUUAGUUACGCUGGUCUUGGUGGAUUUGUUCUAAAACGUCAGACUUUUCUCCCAAAGGUGCGACUUACACUCCAGAGGGACUCACAUGUGUUUUUUUUCUUCUUGGUUGAACAUUUUUUGCUCUUGCGACUUAUGCGGUAUUUCAAUUAUGACACCAUUGGUUUUGCCUGAUGGAAAUGCGUCAUUGAGUCUGCGUCUUCAGCAGCUUUCUUUCAGGAAAGCCUUCUUCCCAUUCUGCUCUCCAGUCAUCACGGCUUCCCAAACAGAUCUGUCUUUAGUGGGGAUUCCAGCAGCUGCUGAUCAGGCGAGAACUGCAGUUCACACGAGUCUGACACCAUCUGAUGUCUAUGCAAAGAAGAAGAUGAAACUCCCUCCGCUCAGAUCAGACUGACCAUCAGCGGAGGGAAAUGCUGCAGCGGCUCAGGAUCACACAGCUGCCCUGACGAGAGGACCAGCAGUCCAAGUCCAGCAUUCAGCACCAGCCGGGCAGAGAACACAUGCAUGUGUGAAUGUGUUGGUUUGAAACAGUUGUUCUGAUGUGGAAGAGCCUGGUGCAUCCGCUCGGUGUGUUCGGGUUCAUUCUGAGCCUCGCUGCUGUUCGCUCACUGUGACGGCGUCAAGCAUUAAACCAAAAACUGCUUCAGGUUCAGGUUGAGGACACUUUUGGGUGCGAACAUUGAUUGCACUUAUUUGAUGUGGUUGGAAAUGUUCUGAACAUCUGUUUGUAAAGCAUUGCUCCAACACUGAACAUUCGUGUUGAAACUUAAAGUCAUCAGUUUCUGCUUUUUUCCCCCGAAAACCUCCUUUUUUUAAACAAUUAGAUUAAAAUGAUACAUUCGCUUUCAUGUCACAAAAAAGGUUUAUUGUUAACAGUGUUAUUGUUAAUAUGCAUCACUGUACUGAUGAAAUGAUGAGAAUAAUAAACCUGGAACCGAA